This 276-nucleotide non-coding RNA is filed under the name Tolypothrix campylonemoides VB511288. Its description in RNAcentral is "partial 16S ribosomal RNA". It matches the Rfam family "Bacterial small subunit ribosomal RNA", at positions 1 to 306 of the family's 1533-position model. The record is from RNAcentral. Lineage: Bacteria; Bacillati; Cyanobacteriota; Cyanophyceae; Nostocales; Tolypothrichaceae.
AAAACGGAGAGUUUGAUCCUGGCUCAGGAUGAACGCUGGCGGUAUGCUUAACACAUGCAAGUCGAACGGACUCUUCGGAGUUAGUGGCGGACGGGUGAGUAACGCGUGAGAAUCUGGCUUCAGGUUCGGGACAACAGUUGGAAACGGCUGCUAAUACCGGAUGUGCCUGUGGGUGAAAGAUUUAUCACCUGAAGAUGAGCUCGCGUCUGAUUAGCUAGUAGGUGUGGUAAGAGCGCACCUAGGCGACGAUCAGUAGCUGGUCUGAGAGGAUGACCA